RNAcentral lists this ribosomal RNA (480 nucleotides) under uncultured bacterium. Its description in RNAcentral is "partial 16S ribosomal RNA". It matches the Rfam family "Bacterial small subunit ribosomal RNA", at positions 29 to 523 of the family's 1533-position model. The record is from RNAcentral.
AAUGAACGUUGGCGGCGUGGAUUAGGCAUGCAAGUCGAGCGCGAACCCCGCAAGGGGUGAAAGCGGCGAAAGGGAGAGUAACGCGUGGGUAUUUACCCUUGGGACUGGGAUAGCUGCGGGAAACUGCAGGUAAUACCAGAUGACGUCCCCGGACCAAAGGUGUGAUUCCGCCUGAGGAUAAGCCCGCGUCCUAUUAGCUAGUUGGUGAGGUAAUGGCUCACCAAGGCAAUGAUGGGUACUGGGUGUGAGAGCACGACCAAGCUCACUGGGACUGAGACACUGCCCAGACACCUACGGGUGGCUGCAGUCGAGAAUCGUCGGCAAUGGGCGCAAGCCUGACCGAGCGACGCCGCGUGUGGGAUGAAGGCCUUCGGGUUGUAAACCGCUGUCAGAGGGGAGGAAUGGGCGGAGGGUAAUCUCUUCGUUUUGACCUAUCCUCAGAGGAAGUACGGGCUAAGUUCGUGCCAGCAGCCGCCGUAA